GUCUACGUCUAUACCACCCUGAAUGCGCCUGAUCUCGUAUGAUCUCGGAAGCUAAGCAGGGUCGGGCCUGGUUAGUACUUGGAUGGGAGACCAUCUGAGAAUACCGGGUGCUGUAGGCU
RNAcentral lists this ribosomal RNA (119 nucleotides) under Aotus nancymaae (Ma's night monkey). Lineage: Eukaryota; Metazoa; Chordata; Mammalia; Primates; Aotidae. The record is from RNAcentral.